RNAcentral lists this ribosomal RNA (482 nucleotides) under uncultured eukaryote. RNAcentral's name for it is "partial Eukaryotic small subunit ribosomal RNA". It matches the Rfam family "Eukaryotic small subunit ribosomal RNA", at positions 864 to 1243 of the family's 1831-position model. The record is from RNAcentral.
AAUGAAGGAGGGUUGUUCGGGGGAGAACGUACUUGGGCGUGAGUGGUGAAAUACUUAGACCGCCCAAAGACGAACUACAGCGAAGGCAUUCUCCAAGGAUACCUUCCUCAAUCAAGAACCAAAGUGUGGAGAUCGAAGAUGAUUAGAGACCAUUGUAGUCCACACCACAAACGGUGACACCCAUGAAUUGGGGAGUAUUUGGUAAGCGGUGUGAGCUGGGUUCGUCCCAGUCUCCGCCCUUCCAAAAGAAAUCAAUUUACGUGCAUAUUCAAAAAGGGCUUCGGUCCGACAACGGGAAUAUCCUCAGCACGUUCUCUGACUGUUUCACGCGAAAGCUUUGAGGUUACAGUCUCAGGGGGGAGUACGUUCGCAAGAGUGAAACUUAAAGAAAUUGACGGAAUGGCACCACAAGAUGUGGAGCGUGCGGUUUAAUUUGACUCAACACGGGGAACUUUACCAGAUCCGGACAGGGUGAGGAUUGA